Dermacentor albipictus is the source of this 362-nucleotide non-coding RNA. NCBI's taxonomy places the organism in Eukaryota, Metazoa, Arthropoda, Arachnida, Ixodida, Ixodidae. The record is from RefSeq and is a predicted model, not a curated record.
GGGGACUUCGAUUUGUCGGAAGCUAAGUGGACUAACGGCACCUGUGCUUAAAAAUCUAAUGCAGCUACAUAUUGCGAAUUGAAAACGUUGACUGACGUGCCUGGACCAUGCAGUACGUUUGAAAACCUACACCAGACUUCCCGUGAGCGCCCAGUGUGAGGGGUCCCACUGACUUUUGGUUCCCAUCGAGUCCUGACUGUACCCCUGAUUUCAAGCAAAUAACCGCAUUUCCAAAUGUGCGCUCAGCACCAAUGGCGAAUCGACAGUCGGCAGACGCACCAGAAAGCAGUUGCGAGAUAACAGAUCGAUUGUUGACUUGCACUGCGAACGCCGGUGGUUGAAAAAGUGCGGCAAGCAUCGAC